AAAAUGACUUGAUUCUUUACAAGUAGUGGAGACUAUUAUUAGUAUUCCAGAUAGAGUGUGUUCUUAGGAGUCCAUCAUGUGCUUUGAUCUGUCUGCAUCCACAGCUGGAAACUUUGCGCCAGUCUCUGGAAGCAGCACGAACUGACAACAGUCGCCUCCAUCAGGAAAGUGAGUUAGUGGUUGAAAAUGUUAAUCAGUGGAUCAAAGAACAAAAAAUUACAGGCUGUUAAUUCCUCUGGGAUCAUUGCUUCCUAUCAGAUUAAUUUGAAUUGACCAGCAUUUUCAGAAGUUACUGUGUAUGUGUGGACAGAAAGAGACAUACCACUGAAUGUGAGGAAGAGGAGGUUCUUUGAAAUAUGUAUGACCGGCGUGAGAUUAAGAAACAACAGUUCAAAUGUUGGUCCGACCCGUUUAUUACAAACGUUAAUAAGGGAGAUGAAGAAAGGGGAGGACGGACACUAUUACGGAUUGGGGUGAUGGGAAAGGGAAGGCAAGCGAUAGAAAAGAUAGAAAGAAGCAAGAAUUGCGUAAAGCGGGGAUAGUCACCACCAGGAUCCGGCAGCAGUCCCGUUGCACGACAUUCCUAUGGUCCGAGGCCGAAGGGCAGGAGCAGCGAGGCCAGUCUUGGACAACGAGAGGGUGCAGGUACUGGGAGGGUCCAGGAAGAAGCCGCAGAGUAAGUCUGGGAGGAAGCAGCAGGUCUCAGGUAGCAGGCCCAGGGAAGUCCAUCAGCAUACGGUCCGUAGUGAAGGAUCUGAUGGCAGAAACCUCGAGUCCGUCAUGCUGAGGGAUAUGAUGGCAGAAAACCCCCUCCUCAUGGUAAUUGGACCCUCUUUUAUCCUCCUCUUUUUCCUGCCUACGUGACAUCCCUGGGUGUUUGAGCAAGAGUCAUGUGUGUAGCUCCUGAGAUGGCCAUCUUCCUCGAGAUAAGUCCACACAAAAGACCAUUUCCCGGCCAUUAUCAGCAGCUUAUCCCUCUCUUGUUGCCCCUGGAUUUGUCCAUCUGUGCUCCUUAAAGGAUUUCAAAACCCUUAGCCAGGACCUGUCCAUCAGUGUCCUCUAGACAGAAGAUUUCUGUACCUUUGCCCAGGACUUGCCUGGACUUGUUCCUCAGCAAACUUUGAGUCAAUCAUAUAAAAGAAUAAUCUCUUACAACCGUGUAAAAAGUCAUUCCCCUACUGCAAUUUAAUGUAGUGUGUAUUUUAAUGUACUGUGAUUAGCAAUCCCUCAGAGUUUUAAAAUAUCCCAACAAUAAGAGUUUUGAAGGUUUGAAUUUACUUAUCCCAUAAGAUUACAAACUCUGAAAAUAUAUCUCAAGUAUCUGCUGCUUUAGCUUGUGUAUGCUCUUU
RNAcentral lists this long non-coding RNA (1349 nucleotides) under Gallus gallus (chicken). RNAcentral describes it as "lncRNA (ENSGALG00010005059.1)". Lineage: Eukaryota; Metazoa; Chordata; Aves; Galliformes; Phasianidae. The record is from RNAcentral.